CCGGUGUCCGCUGGCAGCCUCGAGCUGGGGGCGCGCUCUGUCCCGCGGUGCAGUCGCGCCGUAUAGCAGGGCGGCCUUGGGGCUCUGAGGCCCAACCGGCGAAAGAAGUAGACUCGGCCCUAACCAUCUCGACGCUACAAUUUUUGUUUCUGGAUCUCUGAACUGGGGAGUGAGUGCUGUGGAGUGAGGGGGAAAUAAGAUAAACAUGAGACCUGGCCCAGUAGACGCGUUUUCAGUUCUUGCUGACCUGCGGUCUCGGCUUGGAGCGCUGGGGGAGAGGGCGGAGUCCCCCGGCAGAGGUGAAGCGGGAGCUGCUUUCUGGCAGCGUUUCCAGCCUGGAAGGAGUUGUGCUCUGUAAUGCUUUUCUGAAUUGCAUUCGGCGAAAGGAGUAGGAAACUGCGUUUAUUCCUUCACCAGAUUUGAGGGCAUCUGCUGCGUGCCAGGCUGCCUGGCAUUGGGGGCUGUUUAUGAUUUUCUUUUCCUCUUUUUCUCAUUUCUUCCCCCCCACUGACGAAUAAGUAGAAAUAAGUGAGGAUUUAACUGUGAGCCUCUA
Molecule: long non-coding RNA, 553 nt
Filed under: Pan troglodytes (chimpanzee)
Lineage: Eukaryota; Metazoa; Chordata; Mammalia; Primates; Hominidae
Description: long non-coding RNA NONPTRT001430
Source: RNAcentral